Molecule: ribosomal RNA, 92 nt
Filed under: Galactia aff. muelleri McDonald 10579
Lineage: Eukaryota; Viridiplantae; Streptophyta; Magnoliopsida; Fabales; Fabaceae
Description: partial 26S ribosomal RNA
Rfam family: Eukaryotic large subunit ribosomal RNA
Source: RNAcentral
CUCACAACGAGACCUCAGGUCAGGCGGGACUACCCGCUGAGUUUAAGCAUAUCAAUAAGCGGAGGAAAAGAAACUAACAAGGAUUCCCCUAG